UGGGGAAUUUUGGACGAAUUGGGCGCGAAGCCAUGCAUCCAGCCAUGCCGCGUGCGGGAAGAAGGCCUUCGGGUUGUAAACCGCUUUUGUCAGGGAAGAAAUCUUCUGAGUUAAUACCUCGGGAGGAUGACGGUACCUGAAGAAUAAGCACCGGCUAACUACGUGCCAGCAGCCGCGGUAAUACGUAGGGUGCAAGCGUUAAUCGGAAUUACUGGGCGUAAAGCGUGCGCAGGCGGUUAUGUAAGACAGAGGUGAAAUCCCCGGGCUCAACCUGGGAACUGCCUUUGUGACUGCAAGGCUUGAGUGCGGCAGAGUGGGAUGGAAUUCCGCGUGUAGCAGUGAAAUGCGUAGAUAUGCGGAGAAACACCGAUGGCGAAGGCAAUCCCUGGGCCUGCACUGACGCUCAUGCACGAAAGCGUGGGGAGCAAACAGGAUUAGAUACCCUGGUAGUCCACGCCCUAAACGAUGUCAACUGGUUGUUGGGAAGGUUCCUUCUCAGUAACGUAGCUAACGCGUGAAGUUGACCGCCUGGGGGAGUACGGCCGCAAGGUUGAAACUUAAAGGAAUUGACGGGGUCAUAGCUGUUUCCUG
This 591-nucleotide ribosomal RNA is filed under the name uncultured bacterium. RNAcentral's name for it is "partial 16S ribosomal RNA". It matches the Rfam family "Bacterial small subunit ribosomal RNA", at positions 355 to 1376 of the family's 1533-position model. The record is from RNAcentral.